CCUAACUUUCUUUCUGAGGCGAAUCAUGGCAACGAGUACGGGUACUGUAACAGCACAUCACUUUCAUGUUUAAGUGUAGUUGUUCCGCUGGAAUAUCAAAAUGUUUCAUUGGUGUGCAUUAUUCUAGACAAGAAGUUACAGGAUGCUUCUGUUGUAAAGGAAGAGUCUUCGAACACACAGAACAUUCAGUUCUUGGAGGACCUCGACAAUAGACUUGUUACUCUGGAGGACAAGAUGGAGCUAAGCAACGCUGUCCUGAGGGAUUUGAUGGAACUGCGAAGUGUCUUAGCGGACAAGAAUCUAAGUGAUCAACCAUUUCCAGCACAAAAGUGAAUCAAUAACUACGAUGUAUGUUUUUAUAUUAGUAAAGCAUAUUCUGACAAAUAAAUGGUACAUAAAG
Molecule: long non-coding RNA, 400 nt
Organism: Osmerus eperlanus (European smelt)
Lineage: Eukaryota; Metazoa; Chordata; Actinopteri; Osmeriformes; Osmeridae
Exons: 3
Source: RefSeq, a predicted model, not a curated record